GAUGAACGCUGGCGGCGUGCCUAAUACAUGCAAGUCGAGCGAACGGACGAGAAGCUUGCUUCUCUGAUGUUAGCGGCGGACGGGUGAGUAACACGUGGAUAACCUACCUAUAAGACUGGGAUAACUUCGGGAAACCGGAGCUAAUACCGGAUAAUAUUUUGAACCGCAUGGUUCAAAAGUGAAAGACGGUCUUGCUGUCACUUAUAGAUGGAUCCGCGCUGCAUUAGCUAGUUGGUAAGGUAACGGCUUACCAAGGCAACGAUGCAUAGCCGACCUGAGAGGGUGUUCGGCCACACUGGAACUGAGACACGGUCCAGACUCCUACGGGAGGCAGCAGUAGGGAAUCUUCCGCAAUGGGCGAAAGCCUGACGGAGCAACGCCGCGUGAGUGAUGAAGGUCUUCGGAUCGUAAAGCUCUGUUAUUAGGGAAGAACAUAUGUGUAAGUAACUGUGCACAUCUUGACGGUACCUAAUCAGAAAGCCACGGCUAACUACGUG
RNAcentral lists this ribosomal RNA (497 nucleotides) under uncultured bacterium. RNAcentral's name for it is "partial 16S ribosomal RNA". It matches the Rfam family "Bacterial small subunit ribosomal RNA", at positions 28 to 507 of the family's 1533-position model. The record is from RNAcentral.